AUUGAACGCUGGCGGCAGGCCUAACACAUGCAAGUCGAGCGGAUGAAGGGAGCUUGCUCCUGGAUUCAGCGGCGGACGGGUGAGUAAUGCCUAGGAAUCUGCCUGGUAGUGGGGGAUAACGUCCGGAAACGGGCGCUAAUACCGCAUACGUCCUGAGGGAGAAAGUGGGGGAUCUUCGGACCUCACGCUAUCAGAUGAGCCUAGGUCGGAUUAGCUAGUUGGUGGGGUAAAGGCCUACCAAGGCGACGAUCCGUAGCUGGUCUGAGAGGAUGAUCAGUCACACUGGAACUGAGGCACGGUCCAGACUCCUACGGGAGGCAGCAGUGGGGAAUAUUGGACAAUGGGCGAAAGCCUGAUCCAGCCAUGCCGCGUGUGUGAAGAAGGUCUUCGGAUUGUAAAGCACUUUAAGUUGGGAGGAAGGGCAGUAAGUUAAUACCUUGCUGUUUUGACGUUACCAACAGAAUAAGCACCGGCUAACUUCGUG
This 484-nucleotide ribosomal RNA is filed under the name uncultured bacterium. RNAcentral describes it as "partial 16S ribosomal RNA". It matches the Rfam family "Bacterial small subunit ribosomal RNA", at positions 30 to 507 of the family's 1533-position model. The record is from RNAcentral.